Molecule: ribosomal RNA, 1471 nt
Filed under: uncultured cyanobacterium
Lineage: Bacteria; Bacillati; Cyanobacteriota
Description: bacterial SSU rRNA
Rfam family: Bacterial small subunit ribosomal RNA
Source: RNAcentral
AUUCGAUUAGAGUUUGAUCCUGGCUCAGGAUGAGCGCUGGCGGCGUGCUUAACACAUGCAAGUCGAACGAACCUUCGGGUUAGUGGCGGACGGGUGAGUAACGCGUGAGAAUCUGCCCUCAGGAGGGGGACAACAGCUGGAAACGGCUGCUAAUACCCCAUAUGCCGCGAGGUGAAAUGAAUUUCGCCUGAGGAUGAGCUCGCGUCUGAUUAGCUAGUUGGUGUAGGUAAUGGCUCACCAAGGCAUCGAUCAGUAGCUGGUCUGAGAGGAUGAUCAGCCACACUGGGACUGAGACACGGCCCAGACUCCUACGGGAGGCAGCAGUGGGGAAUUUUCCGCAAUGGGCGAAAGCCUGACGGAGCAACGCCGCGUGAGGGAUGAAGGCCUCUGGGCUGUAAACCUCUUUUAUCAAGGAAGAAGAUCUGACGGUACUUGAUGAAUAAGCCACGGCUAAUUCCGUGCCAGCAGCCGCGGUAAUACGGGAGUGGCAAGCGUUAUCCGGAAUUAUUGGGCGUAAAGCGUCCGCAGGCGGCCCUUCAAGUCUGCUGUUAAAAAGUGGAGCUUAACUCCAUCAUGGCAGUGGAAACUGUUGGGCUUGAGUGUGGUAGGGGCAGAGGGAAUUCCCGGUGUAGCGGUGAAAUGCGUAGAUAUCGGGAAGAACACCAGUGGCGAAGGCGCUCUGCUGGGCCAUCACUGACGCUCAUGGACGAAAGCCAGGGGAGCGAAAGGGAUUAGAUACCCCUGUAGUCCUGGCCGUAAACGAUGAACACUAGGUGUCGGGGGAAUCGACCCCCUCGGUGUCGUAGCCAACGCGUUAAGUGUUCCGCCUGGGGAGUACGCACGCAAGUGUGAAACUCAAAGGAAUUGACGGGGGCCCGCACAAGCGGUGGAGUAUGUGGUUUAAUUCGAUGCAACGCGAAGAACCUUACCAGGGUUUGACAUCCUGCGAAUCUCUUGGAAACGAGAGAGUGCCUUCGGGAACGCAGUGACAGGUGGUGCAUGGCUGUCGUCAGCUCGCGUCGUGAGAUGUCGGGUUAAGUCCCGCAACGAGCGCAACCCACGUCUUUAGUUGCCAGCAUUUAGUUGGGCACUCUAGAGAGACUGCCGGUGAUAAACCGGAGGAAGGUGUGGAUGACGUCAAGUCAUCAUGCCCCUUACAUCCUGGGCUACACACGUACUACAAUGCUACGGACAAAGGGCUGCAAGUUCGCGAGGACAAGCAAAUCCCAUAAACCGUGGCUCAGUUCAGAUCGUAGGCUGCAACUCGCCUACGUGAAGGCGGAAUCGCUAGUAAUCGCAGGUCAGCAUACUGCGGUGAAUACGUUCCCGGGCCUUGUACACACCGCCCGUCACACCAUGGAAGUUGGCCACGCCCGAAGCCGUUACUCCAACCCUUGUGGAGGAGGACGUCGAAGGUGGGGCUGAUGACUGGGGUGAAGUCGUAACAAGGUAACCAAUCACUAGUGAAUUC